GUGAAUAACCAAGGGCGCGCGGUGGAUGCCUAGGCUCUCGGAGGCGAUGAAGGACGCGAUAAGCCGCGAUAGGCCACGGCGAGGUGCAAGUAACCCUUGACCCGUGGAUUUCCGAAUGGGGCAACCCGGCUGGAUAGAUUCCAGUCAUCCUAAAUGGAGGCGAACGCGGGGAACUGAAACAUCUCAUUACCCGCAGGAGAAGAAAACAACAGUGAUUCCCCCAGUAGUGGCGAGCGAACGGGGAAUAGCCCAAACCGUUGCCGUUUCGGCGACAACGGGGUCAUGGGACCACGACACUCGAUAAACGUUCAAGCGCAAUUACCUGGAAAGGUAAGCCGUGGAGGGUGAUAGCCCCGUGCGCGUAAAGACGUUUAAAGACAGUGGCAUCCCGAGUAGGGCGGGACACGAGAAAUCCUGCCUGAAUUCACCAGGACCGCCUGGUAAGGCUAAAUACUCCCGAGAGACCGAUAGUGAACCAGUACCGCGAGGGAAAGGUGAAAAGCACCCCUAGCCGGGGAGUGAAAUAGACCCUGAACCCGCGCGCCUACAAGCGGUCGGAGC
Molecule: ribosomal RNA, 561 nt
Filed under: Butyricimonas hominis
Lineage: Bacteria; Pseudomonadati; Bacteroidota; Bacteroidia; Bacteroidales; Odoribacteraceae
Description: partial 23S ribosomal RNA
Rfam family: Bacterial large subunit ribosomal RNA
Source: RNAcentral